RNAcentral lists this ribosomal RNA (484 nucleotides) under uncultured bacterium. RNAcentral's name for it is "partial 16S ribosomal RNA". It matches the Rfam family "Bacterial small subunit ribosomal RNA", at positions 28 to 507 of the family's 1533-position model. The record is from RNAcentral.
AUUGAACGCUGGCGGCAUGCUUUACACAUGCAAGUCGAACGGCAGCGCGGGCUUCGGCCUGGCGGCGAGUGGCGAACGGGUGAGUAAUGCAUCGGAACGUGCCCAGUAGUGGGGGAUAGCCCGGCGAAAGCCGGAUUAAUACCGCAUACGACCUGAGGGUGAAAGCGGGGGACCGAAAGGCCUCGCGCUAUUGGAGCGGCCGAUGUCGGAUUAGCUAGUUGGUGGGGUAAAGGCUUACCAAGGCGACGAUCCGUAGCUGGUCUGAGAGGACGACCAGCCACCCUGGGACUGAGACACGGCCCAGACCCCUACGGGAGGCAGCAGUGGGGAAUUUUGGACAAUGGGGGCAACCCUGAUCCAGCCAUGCCGCGUGCGGGAAGAAGGCCUUCGGGUUGUAAACCGCUUUUGUUCGGGAAGAAAUCCUCUGGGCUAAUAUCCCGGGGGGAUGACGGUACCGGAAGAAUAAGCACCGGCUAACUACGUG